This 425-nucleotide ribosomal RNA is filed under the name uncultured bacterium. RNAcentral's name for it is "bacterial SSU rRNA". It matches the Rfam family "Bacterial small subunit ribosomal RNA", at positions 354 to 796 of the family's 1533-position model. The record is from RNAcentral.
GUGGGGAAUAUUGCGCAAUGGAGGAAACUCUGACGCAGCAACGCCGCGUGAAGGAAGAAGGCCUUCGGGUUGUAAACUUCUUUGAUCGGGGACGAAAAUGACGGUACCCGAGGAACAAGCCACGGCUAACUACGUGCCAGCAGCCGCGGUAAUACGUAGGUGGCAAGCGUUGUCCGGAAUUACUGGGUGUAAAGGGCGUGUAGGCGGGGGAGCAAGUCAGAUGUGAAAGCCCAUGGCUUAACUGUGGAACUGCAUCUGAAACUGUUCUUCUUGAGUGCUGGAGAGGAAAGUGGAAUUCCUAGUGUAGCGGUGAAAUGCGUAGAGAUUAGGAGGAACACCAGUGGCGAAGGCGGCUUUCUGGACAGUAACUGACGCUGAGGCGCGAAAGCGUGGGGAGCAAACAGGAUUAGAAACCCUAGUAGUCC